Molecule: small RNA, 5495 nt
Filed under: Histoplasma capsulatum var. duboisii H88
Lineage: Eukaryota; Fungi; Ascomycota; Eurotiomycetes; Onygenales; Ajellomycetaceae
Description: Histoplasma capsulatum H88 hypothetical RNA
Source: RNAcentral
UCCACCUCCAUCAAUAUGCUUUUUGUUUAGCGUUGAUCUUCAAGCGGGGCCAGCUGCUGAGAUAAUCAGAUCCAUGACGCCACAUGGUGCGUUAGUUAUCAAUUCCCCAACCACUGCGUGUUCUACGCUCUUCCUCAUCUACCUUUUUAUUGCACUACAGUAUCAGUUAAUUAAGGCCAUGACUCAGAGACAUCGACAGCUUGCUCUAUCAGUUAUCUUCCCCUCCCGAGUACUAAAUUUGCGAACCUGUGAAGAUGACGGAACGAUCACCAAAGUACCGGCAGGAGAUCCAACAGGUAAGACUUUAAAUCCCUUCUGUGCUAAUUAUCUGUGAUGGCUUGGUGAAAUGUCCAAUAUGGCCUGGUCCGCCGGUUUCACGGAUGAUAUAGUCCUUCCAGUUUCGAGGAGUUGAUUCCUGAGAGGAUGCCCGGUGCCACAGCCCCUCGAGCUGAAGGACUAAUCAUCUGUGAAGAAUCCCCGUUGCGACCUACCAGAGAAGUUUAGGGGUAGGGAUCGGAUAAGGGACGGAUUAUAGAGCUAUAUUGUAAGGUGUAUUGGAGCCAUGGAGUUGGUUCACUGGCUAUUUCGUCUCUACGACCGAAGCCGGUCUAUUUUUCCCCCAAGCAGUGCGCGGAGCUACCAACUUCCAGUUGAGCCUACAAUCAUUUGCUUGGUAAUAGGCAGUUAUAAUACUUCCUUUUUCUUAUAAGCAUGGGAAAUGCGCUCAAUUGGGGCCGUGACCAUAUUAGCAAAAUUGGGAGACUUUCCCGACAUUGUUUAGACACAUUGUUGGCCACGACGUUUAUAGGAAUCGGGCCCGGACCAGGACCAAGAUCAGAGCCAAGACGAAAUUUUUCUUGAUGGGUCAAAGAAAUUAGUCGAAGUACUGCCCUCGCAGCGCGACGGGGCGUUCGUUCUAUCUCUACGGAUGAUCUCAUUUUUCUAAUUCGCCACGACAAAGCUAAAGUAUCACGGCUAAAGACUUUUUUGUCCUGGAAAGAUGUCCGAAAAAAUGUGAAAGACUCGGAUGACAAGGGUGGUGCUGAUGCAGCAGAUUUUGGGGCCGGAGACGACCCUUUGGCUGGAGCAGGUGUUGCGGGUCCAUCGGAUGUUGCGGCCAAACCGAAAAAUAAAAGGGCCAAAGUUGGUUUGCCUUGGGAUCUCAACAACCUGUAUUCAGUCCAAGUUCCUGAGCGUGAAGAUGAAGAAGACGAAGAGGAGGAGGAACAAAAUUAUGCCACUCUGCAGCGCCUCGCAAACGCAGAUGAACGGACAAAAAAUAUGACCCGCGAAGAGUAUGUUUUCUGGUCGGAUUGUCGACAGGCCUCAUUUACAUUUCGCAAAGCAAAGAGGUUUCGAGAAUGGGCAGGUUUUGGAAUCGUGACGGACUUUAGACCCAACGAUGACAUCGUCGACAUUCUUGGCUUCCUCACCUUCGAAAUUGUGCAAACAUUGACGGAAGAGGCGCUGAAGGUGAAGGAGCAGGAGGAUCGGGGUAAGAAAGGCCGUGGAGCCUCGGAUGAUGGUGAAAAGACCAAGAAGCGAAAACAAGAGACGGGGCUUUUCGACCCUCCAGAGGAGGGGAGGACUCCCAUAGAGCCAAGACACAUUCAUGAGGCGUAUCGCAAACUUCAGGCGAUUCCGAAUAAGGCGGUUGCGAUGUUAUUGCGCGGAGGACGAGCGCCGAUGCGUACUCCUUUGCGACUUAUUUGAAAUCAUUGCCCGAAAAUUGCACGACACUGAAGAUCUGUUAACACUGUAUACUAUUUUGGAGGCGUUCUUUGGAGUACGUGGUUUGCUAAGUUCUUGGGCCUCUGUGAGGUGGGAAUUAUACCCGGAAAUUUGACAUUUCUACCUUGUUUGAGAUGUGAAUUUAACUGGGUGGUGCAUUAUUCGCUAUAUAGAGCAGAUAUGUUUAAUUAUUAUCGUUAUACCCGCUUGUGAUUUACAUCAUGUUCGCUGUCUUACGAAAGACCACGAUCGGAACGUAGAUUUGCCGUGUUGAGUAUAUGGGUAUCUAACAAAACAGAGUUCCCUUGAAUGCAAUCGCCAUUACAUGUCUAUAGCCGGAAAAGCAAGAGAGAUAGUUAGCAAAAUCUACAUCCACCGUAACUCCCAUUUCAUUUUAAUCCCUUGGUGGCAUAGAUAUCAGACAACACGACCUGUAUCUCCCGCAAGAAUUUCGACACUUCCGUUUCCGUUCCAACAGUGAUCCUUAGACAUCCCUUACAGCCAUCCUCAUUCCCUCGAAACCGGACAACAACACCUUUCUUCUCGGCAAGAGCCUUAUAGACCGCCAGGGCCAUAUCAUUGCACGGCUUCCCUCCCUCUUCCGCUGGCCUAUCAAGAACCUCAACGAGCAGGAAAUUCGAAUCCAUGCCGCCUAGAAACCUUCCAAUUCCAGGGACUUUCGGCAACUCUGAAAUCAGCCUAUCCCGCUGUACUAGAAUCUUUUUCUUGUUCCUAUUCAUGAGUGCAACAUUCUCCGUCGCCAGCACAGCCUUUGCCAACGCACUGGUGGGACUGGAGAUGUUAUAUGGAGCCUUCAAACUAUUCAACAGCCGCGCGAUUUCAGGACUCGUAAACGCCGCGCCCAGUCUGAUGCCCGCAAGUCCAAAUGCUUUGCUCAGUGUCUGCAUUACAACUAAAUUAGGCCACUCCGCCACCCACUCCGCGAGACUUGAGCCCUCAGGGGCAAAGUCGAUGUAAGCUUCGUCAACCACAACCACACCAUUCCAUGUUGGGUGCUCGAGGACCUUUUGGAUAUCGUCUUUUCGGAUUAGAUUUGCUGUGGGAUUGCCGGGAGAACAAAUGUACACCAGUUUUAUGGAAGGGGUGGACGAUAAUACUUCGUUGAUGGCUUCGGGGCGGAGACGAAAGUUGUUGGAAGUGUCAAGGGGAACUUUGACGAUGCUGAUGUCGUUUAUUUGCGCACUGACUGAAUACAUGCCAUAUGUUGGCGGGCAGGUGAGGAUCUGGUCAUGGCCUGGUGUGCAGAAGCAGCGGAGAAGGGCAUCAAUGACUUCAUCUGAGCCCACGCCGACAAAAAGCCUAUCCGGAGUCAAAGUAUUUUGUGUAUGAACGUGUGUGUUUCGCAAAUUGCACAGGAGUUGUUUGAGUUCGAUUUGAUGGCUAUUGUAGAAAAAUUUUGUCAGAAUUGGAGAGGAAUUGUGAAAUAUGGGAUCGGAUGGGGAAUGCGCACGGAUCAGGAUAUCGGUUUAGACCCAAGAAGUCGAUAUCUGGGAAAGAUGAAUUCUCGCUGGCCGUCGCUGUUGCGGCCGACAAUCCCUUCUGAAUUCUUCCCUCAGAAUUCAAGACUAGACCUGGGCCAUACGCAUUCUCAUUCGCAUCUAAGAGUACGUUUGUUCCAUCGUCUUUGUAGUCACUGACUCAUUCGCAGGUUAGCUGUUUAUGAGCUUCAUGGCCUUGGAUCUGGAGGAUGAGGUUGGAUAUCUUACUCUCUUGCGCAACGAUAUGGCCGCAAUUGAAGGAUAUUAGGCCUUGCACAUUUUGAGAGGUCAAACGGGAGAUUCUUGGCUGUCAUGGUUGAUGCUGGUGGAGUUGUUAGAUAGUGAGGAAGGGGAAAAUAUUUAUUCUUAUCCGGAGUGGCGGGGUGAAGAUUGAGUUUCUGAACGCAAAUCGAUGACUCGAAGAGGGGCAGGAUAAAACACCCGUGAGGCCAAAACUAGUAAAAUGUUGAGGUCAUCAUGGAGAAAGCAAAUAUGAGAUAGGCACUCUGAUAUCUAUUUUUAUCAUCGAACAAUGGCUUACUAUGUCUAUCUUAAUAGAUUUCUAGUAUCUUUAUCCAUAUCCCAAGCUACAAACGCCAAACUCCUUCGAGUAUGCACAUUCAGGGCCAAAUUAAUAAUAACAUAUAGGUAUAUAGUCUUCAAAAAGAAAUUGCCUAGCUCACUCCUUCCGUCUCCUGUUUGGCGGAGGCGUACUUUUGUUGUUUCUCUUUCAUAUAACGCCAUCCUCUUCCGAGGCCGGCGGUGAAUAAGCUCUUUAUGCUCUGGUUUGUACUAGGCCACGAUAUGGUCUUCCUGAUGGACUUAGUUGCUUCGUCCUUGAGGUGUUCGUCAGCAGCAAUUCUUUGCUCGAAUACGCCUCCUACUCGACGAUGGACACGUUCGGGGUCUUCGUCGUUGCUUUUCUCCACCAUUUUCUCAAAUUCCACCCUCGGAAUUUGGUAUCUUGACUGGAAUUGGAAGUACAGCUUCUCACGGAAGGACUGAGGAAGUCUUCGAACCAUAUUUCCUCGUUUGAACGGGUCCAUAUCUUGAGCUAGCCAAGCGUCUACCUCCGGGUUAUCCACCCAAUCUAAGCGGGCGCAUUGUGGGUCAUUGAAAGCAACAUUUGGCAACGUCUCGAUCAAGGGAGCAUAUAAACGUCGAAAGUUGGUCAUCUGCGAGGUUACAAUGUUAUUGACCUUACGCGGAUCCUCCGAGGCAAAAGACAUCCGUGGGUCACCCAGAUAACUAAUGCCCGCGAUGGUGCUAUACAGCUGCUGUUCGGUAAAUUUCGGUGGUAGUAAAAGCAGUGCCACGCGGACUGCUGAAAGAAGGUUCACUUGAUUCGCAAGACGGACUUUUGGGUGAUCUCUAAGGAUUUUCACCGGCUUCUGAAGCCGUCCCGCGAGGUAGAGUGAGUCCCAGUCACUAAGAUCUUUACACAAUGUGUCAAUAUUAACAACCCCAUAUUUUAUAAGAGUGCCAUUCACAGUAACAUAGGGAUUGAAGUAAACGCCAGCUCCCCAUUUUUCUUGGAUCUGGGAGACAACAUAUGACCCUAGCGAUCCUAGGCCAGAAUAGUGGUCGCGAUGCUGGUUCAAAUUGAGGGCAUGCCAAUGCUGGCUAUACGAGACACCAAAUAUAAAAUCAAUCAUCUUCCCGCUGUUCCCUUGGCCUGUUUGAAUGGCUUGUGGAGCAGCCGGAUGGGAACUUUCAGCUGGAGUCGCAGAUCUGUUGGACUGCGGGAAUACGCCUGAACCGUAUGCGAAUGCAUAUCGGAUUGGAGCUUUGAACUGCCACAAUAUCUGUCGUAGUGCCUCUUUAAACUCCUCGUUGAUAAUCAUGUGCUGAUUUACUCCGAAGUUUUUAGAAGGUAGCUCCGAAAAUGUCGAGAUUGUGAAGUCCGGAUUGUCAUACCAAUUAGUGCCCGACUCAGACAGUGGAAUGGAUUGUCCGGAAUUUGAUGAGGCCGGAGAGACAUUCGAUGGCGAAUUCAAAUCUUUAUGCGCAGCAGCAUUGAAUCCAGGAAGUGGUCCGCUAUCGCGAUCAUGCGGGCUGGGGGACGACUCUGUGGAGAGAGGUCGGUAACAUUUAUGGCUGUAUUGAUCUGACGAAAGGGGUGGAAUGAAGAUGUGGAGGCGGGAUGGUGCUGUAAGUCGCGGCCGUAUCAGGAGGAACGGAAGAUGGGAUACGGCCAUGUUGGGGAGAUGAUGGGGGGGACAGCACGAGCUGUAACAGUUCAAGCGAGAGCUACCAUGGGCUUUC